GACGGUGGUCAUAGUGGUAGGGAAACGCCCGGUUACCAUUCCGAACCCGGAAGCUAAGCCUACCAACGCCGAUGGUACUGCACUCGAGGGGGUGUGGGAGAGUAGGACACCGCCGUCA
Molecule: ribosomal RNA, 118 nt
Filed under: Arcanobacterium buesumense
Lineage: Bacteria; Bacillati; Actinomycetota; Actinomycetes; Actinomycetales; Actinomycetaceae
Source: RNAcentral